CCACAAUUUCUAACUUUAAAAAUUAUUUUCGAAAAAAAGGCAAAAAUUUUCAUGGCCAAACGGCCCUAAGAAAUUGGAAGUGUUGAAGAUUUUUCUGGAAGCUGAAAAGAUUUCAAGCUUCAUGAACCCAUUCCAAAGUAAGUUGCACCAAACUCAACUCUUGAUUACUUCAGUUUGAACACACUCCCUUCAUGAACACCCCUGUUCAUGUUUUUUCAGUGUUCUAACUUCAAAUCGAUGAAGGAGUUUGAGCUUUGUGAAGUAAUCUUUGUAAGAAUGAAUCUUAGAAAGAUUAAUACCACACAUCAAAGGAAGAAAUUAAGAACUCGAUCAAUGACUAAAAUAGGAUUUUAUUGAGAAUCUUCUGAUACAAAAUGAGAUACAAGAUCACGUAAUAUCCUGUGAGGUGAUGUGUUUUUAGUAGUGUUUUGGACGGUGAAAGGCGAUAAGGUCCCGUCUUGCCACACAACGAGGCGAGCGGUGAGACGAGUGCCUUUUGAAUGUACGAUGAUAAUUAAUGUAAAAAAAUUAAAAUAACAUAUAAAUGAUCAAAAUUUCAAUAACACUAAUAUAUUAGGAAAUAUUUCAAGUCAAGAAUUAAAAAUAGAUAGUAGAUAGAUACUAAAAGUCUAGAACUUGAAUGACUCAACAAUCCAAUAUCCAUAAAACAAGUAGAUAUAUGCCAUUGAAAUUGGAAGUUGUUAAUGAUCAAGACAUCAAGUCAUUUAAUUAGUAUAUUACUAUCAUACUAUGUUAAUUGAAUUCUAUAUAAGUUAUUAAAAAAGAAUUAUAUAAUAAGGCUACAAGGAACGAGCUUACUGGUUAUUGAUACAGUAACAGUGUUUUAAGACAAGUUCACUGUUACAGAAUACAGUGGAGGAAAAUAGAAGAAGAAGAGAAAAGAGGAAGGAAAAAAAAAGCACUAAAGUACAAGUCCAGUUACUGGAUUAAGAAGAAGAAGUAAAAAGAAAAAAAAAUAUAAAUCAAUACUUCACAGGCUUACUGCUUAUCGGAGUUGCUGGAGUACGUCACUGGAAUCAAAUUUUGGAGAUGGAUGGUAUCAGCGGAAGUCACCACUAAGCAGUUGGUAGAGCCAAAAUGUGUAAAUAAGUCCGAAAAUUAGUUUAUAUACCGAAAAUCCUAUUUUUUUUUAAAAAAAUUAAAAGGCGGCGCCAUUGUCGCCUCGUCGCCUCGCCUCGCCAUGUCGCCUUUCUCGCAAAGGAGACGCCUUUUGAUUUUCGCAAUGCUAUGACCUGAAGAGGCGACCAGGCCUUGCCUCGCCAUUCGCCAUUGGCGACGUGGCGAGCGCCUUUUACAACACCGAUUGUUACAUUCUGCUGGAUGUUCCUGAUUUUUCAUCGACCCUAAAAUUGGGAUCUCAACUACUGCAAUCUCAUCAGUACAUUUGCUUGUCUUGUCCAUGUUUUUCAGACUCCCCAGAGCAUAAGUUAUGUUGGUGUAUUUCUGCAUCUAUUUUUAUAGCUCCAGGAAUUGAUAUGUGUUGUUGUUGCUGUGGUUGCUGCUUGUCCUAUUGCAUUUCUUGAAUCUUCUUGGUAGUUACUGCAUUUUCCUCUCCACUAUCUAUUGUUACACUAUUAGUGCUUUGUUUAUGUAAUUCAAUGAUUCUUUUCCCUAGAUUCUGAAUUUCAUCCUUAAGAGAAUGAGUUUUCUCCUCAAUAAUGGUUGCU
This is an RNA transcript of Capsicum annuum, 1688 nucleotides long. RefSeq lists it as uncharacterized. The record is from RefSeq and is a predicted model, not a curated record. NCBI's taxonomy places the organism in Eukaryota, Viridiplantae, Streptophyta, Magnoliopsida, Solanales, Solanaceae. The transcript is spliced from 3 exons.